This 315-nucleotide ribosomal RNA is filed under the name Triticum aestivum (bread wheat). RNAcentral's name for it is "partial small subunit ribosomal RNA". Lineage: Eukaryota; Viridiplantae; Streptophyta; Magnoliopsida; Poales; Poaceae. The record is from RNAcentral.
AUGAAACUACUUGCUCAACAGCAUCAAGCAGGGAGGCCGUGGCUGUGUUUGGGUGACUUUAAUGAAAUCCUAUCAAUGGAUGAAAAAAUCGGUGGCGCUGUCAGGCCACAGCGACACAUGGAUAGAUUUAGAGAAGCGUUGGAGGCCUGUGAGCUAUGUGACAUUGGUUAUGAGGGGGACAAAUACACGUGGAGGAACCAUAGCAAGAACAAGAGGUUGGACAGGGCUACAGCUAACGCCUCAUGGUGCGAAUGGUUUCCUGAGUUCGUAGUUAUAAAUGGAGCUCCACGACAUUCUGAUCACCGACCGGUCAUU